UGCCGGGUCGUCUAAUCGUAGGACAGCGCCCUUUGAAGGCGCGAAUGCUGGUGCGAUUCCAGCCCUGGCAGCCA
Molecule: transfer RNA, 74 nt
Filed under: Verrucomicrobiota bacterium
Lineage: Bacteria; Pseudomonadati; Verrucomicrobiota
Description: Verrucomicrobia bacterium (freshwater metagenome) tRNA-Gln
Rfam family: tRNA
About the family: Transfer RNA (tRNA) molecules are approximately 80 nucleotides in length. Their secondary structure includes four short double-helical elements and three loops (D, anti-codon, and T loops).
Source: RNAcentral